Molecule: ribosomal RNA, 243 nt
Filed under: uncultured bacterium
Lineage: Bacteria
Description: partial 16S ribosomal RNA
Rfam family: Bacterial small subunit ribosomal RNA
Source: RNAcentral
UACGUAGGGUGCAAGCGUUAAUCGGAAUUACUGGGCGUAAAGCGUGCGCAGGCGGUUUUGUAAGUCUGUCGUGAAAUCCCCCGGGCUCAACCUGGGAAUUGCGAUGGAGACUGCAAGGCUAGAAUCUGGCAGAGGGGGGUAGAAUUCCACGUGUGAGCAGUGAAAUGCGUAGAGAUGUGGAGGAACACCGAUGGCGAAGGCAGCCCCCUGGGUCAAGAUUGCGCUCAUGCACGAAAGCGUGGG